CCUACGGGAGGCUGCAGUGGGGAAUAUUGGGCAAUGGAGGCAACUCUGACCCAGCAACGCCGCGUGAAUGAUUAAGGUCUUAGGAUUGUAAAGGUCUGUGAUGGGGGGUGAACACAAUGACGGUACCCCAAUAGCAAGCCACGGCUAACUACGGGCCAGCAGCCGCGGUAAUACGUAGGUGGCAAGCGUUAUCCGGAAUGACUGGGCUGAAAGGGGGCGUAGGGGGUUUAGGAAGUCGGCGGUGUAAUUCCGGGGCUCAACCUGGGGACUGCCGAUAAAACUAGUAGACUAGAGUGCAGGAGAGGUAAGUGGAAUUCCUAGUGUAGCGGUGGAAUGCGUAGAUAUUAGGAGGAACAGCAGUGGCGAAGGCGACUUACUGGACUGUAACUGACACUGAGGCACGAAAGCGUGGGGAGCGAACAGGAUUAGAUACCCUUGUAGUC
This 443-nucleotide ribosomal RNA is filed under the name uncultured bacterium. RNAcentral describes it as "partial 16S ribosomal RNA". It matches the Rfam family "Bacterial small subunit ribosomal RNA", at positions 338 to 795 of the family's 1533-position model. The record is from RNAcentral.